This 468-nucleotide ribosomal RNA is filed under the name uncultured bacterium. RNAcentral describes it as "partial 16S ribosomal RNA". It matches the Rfam family "Bacterial small subunit ribosomal RNA", at positions 28 to 507 of the family's 1533-position model. The record is from RNAcentral.
GAUGAACGCUGGCGGCGUGCUUAACACAUGCAAGUCGAACGGAAAGGUGAUGAUCUUGCGGGGUGCUCGAGUGGCGAACGGGUGAGUAAAACGUGAGUAAAAUGUACUUGAAAUUGGGAUAAAACCAGGAAAAUGGGGAUAAUACAGGAUAGGAGCUACUGCUGCACGGUGGGGGUUGGAAAGUUUCGGCGGUUGGGGAUGGACUCGCGGCUUAUCCGCUUGUUGGUGGGGUAGUGGAUUACCAAGGCUGUGACGGGUAGCCGGCCUGAGAGGUUGACCGGCCACAUGGGGACUGAGAUACGGCCCAGACUCCUACGGGAGGCAGCAGUGGAGAAUUUUGCACAGUGGGCGGAAGCCUGAUGCAACAACGCCGCGUGCGUAAUGACGUCCUUCGAGGUGUAAACCACUUUCUCCUGUGACGAAGCGUUAGUGACGGUAAUGGGUAAAGAAGCACCGGCUAACUACGUG